This is a long non-coding RNA of Gossypium raimondii (Peruvian cotton), 590 nucleotides long. RefSeq lists it as uncharacterized. The record is from RefSeq and is a predicted model, not a curated record. The transcript has 2 exons. NCBI's taxonomy places the organism in Eukaryota, Viridiplantae, Streptophyta, Magnoliopsida, Malvales, Malvaceae.
AAAAAAAUAAAAGCUUUCUCUUCAUUCUCUCUCUGGGCAUUGCCCAAGAUUCGGCCAUGGGGCCACCAUCCGUCCGUCAUGGCCGUCGGCCGGCGACGGCGGUGACCGCCGUAUACGGCGGUCGGAGUCCCAAAAAAGAACCCAUUUUGAUCCAAUCGACCUCCCCAUGCCCGUUUUGAAGCCGCAAUCUUCAAAAGACAAACGAAAGUACCCGAACGAGCCAGAGACCCCCCAAAUUCCGGCCUCGCUGUUAACGGCCGAUUUCGGCGACUGAGGGAGGGCCCCCCAACGACAUGGCCGUGGCACGUUUCAGGUGACAGAGCAGUGUCAGACGCGUGAAGGAGGUGGCGUGCGGCAUGCGGCGCUGGGCAGAAGCAGGAGCGGCGGCCAGCAGCAGCUAGGGUUCUCUGCUGCUGAAAUUUUAAUUUCCUGGGCUAGGGUUUUUUAUUGUUGGGCCUGUUGGGUGUUCGUUUUGGAUAUUGGGUUUUUGAGUGUGUUGGGCCCGGGCAGAUUUUGGGCUUUACACCUAACUUUUGCUUUCUUUCUUUUAACACAUUUAUGGAAGUUUUCUCAUGAGACUAAGAUGCUCA